ACCCGGCCACCAUUGGAUGUGGCGUGUGUCAGUCACCAUGGAUACCCGCCCAGAGGUUUAUGCGGCAGCCACUUUAGCCAGUCUGUGGCAGUGAUUGCUGGUGGCUCUUGGCUCCGCGAAUCCCUGACUGGUAUCCAGGCCUGGACUCUGAGCCACUGGCUGGAGAGGGAAGUCUACAGCUCCCUGGUGGGAGAAAUGGGAUUUAUUAAUAAAUUUGCUUAAAAGACAAUAAGUCACAGAGUAGAAUUUAGCGAAUAAAUUCUUAAUAAACCCAAGGCUAUCGGGCUUGUCGGAAAUAAUUCUGUAAAUGUUUGUUCCUGGGGAUUGACGUGCAUUAGGUUUCAUCCCCAUAACCAAAAAGACAAUCCUGAUGUACAACCAGCCAUUAAACCCAUUGGCCAUGUCAAAGAAUGUGUCUCUAACAGGAAGACAAACUUCCUAAGUCCUGGCCUGACAUAAACCCUGUUUCUCCUCUGGAGAAAAGCAAAAUUCUGCCGGAUGGGCAAGAUGCCCCUUGGUAACAACUGUUACUAAGCAGCACUGAUGUACUUAAUAACUCUGGCAGUAUUUUGCUGCGUAACUCUCGCAGCCUAUAGUCUCUGUUUAUACUGGGGUCCGCAUCCCUUAGUCCCUACUUGUUACAGGAUAUGUCUGGCAUACCCCACCCCCUACCCUAAAUUUUUUCCAAUCUGGGAGCUGUGCUACCCUUCUCCCCAGAUGCCUUUCCCUAUGUAACUCGGCCAUUUUUUGUUACCUGGUCCUUUCAGUCUACCCAUUAAUCUCUUGGCCAGUUCCUUAGCCCAAGCUGCCAGUCUUGGUUGGCGACUCCCCUCUAGCUCUCCCUUCCUGUAUCUCUUCAGAUGGCCCCACUCAGUCUGGCGUCGAUCACUCUACCUGAAGUCUCUCUACCUCUGACGGUGCUCUCCCUUUUAUCUACAGUAAACUUUGUCCUUCAUAUCUAAGGGCAGUCACUUCCUUUCCUUUUUAUAUCUUUUUGUCAUUCAGGUGGCGGGUUCCUCUUUGGUCGUUAGCCAGAGCCAGAAGCACACUGUUAUUAAAUAGCUUUUCUAUGCUUUUCCAGAGUGGAUAGAGUGAAAUCUUCUGGGAGGGCAUACUUCCCUGCCUCAGGAGAUACACCCAUUUCUGCAGUUGAGGCAGCAGGGGGCAAGGGAAGCUUGCCUCCAGCCAGCAACAGGAGCCCCUCCACAGAUCUGUCAGGGCAGCUUGAGAACCAGGGAACCAGUGUCACUAAGAUCUCUAGCACAGAAGUUGGAGGCCCUCUCCCGUGGCCAUGUGUAGCCCUCACUUUGACCUGAAACACUUGUGACCUUUUCCUGAUCAAAUGCCUCCCACUGGGCACAUUUCAUGCUCCAUAAAACCCAAGGGCCCCUGGCUUUCAAGAUGACCUUUCCUGGCCUCCUCCUCCUUCCUGGUCUAGCCCAAUUCUGUGAAGGCUGCCAUUGGCCUUAAUGCCUCCAAACCUGUAGUGGGACAGUUCUCUAAUUCGCCACCCUCCCCUGGAAUCCCCUCCCCACUUUGCUAGACAUGACAUUUAGGUCUUCUUCUAUCACCCCAUUCGGUGCCUUCCACUUGGAGAACGCUUCCGUGAGAAGUUUACCUCUUCCAUUUUGGUCGCCUGUAAGAUGCUGGUAAAUGACUUACUAAACGGCAGGGAGUCAAACUCCUGAUGGCGAUUCCAAAGAUUGUUUUUAAACUCCAACUUCCUCCCCAAGCUGAAAACAGCCCUGAGCCACUUCCUCUAAGUCAGUUUGGAUACAUUCAGGAAUGUUCCAGUCCCAUUAACGCUAGUCUUAAAAUAAAAGGCAAGAGAGUUGAAGAUCCUUUUCCCUGGCCACAGAAAAUCUCCUUUGGAAUAUCUUUAGCCCAGUUUCUCCCUGGGUCACCAUUCUCUGCUGAGAGUGCCUCUGAGUUCUGGCUUCCCAGAACUCACUGUUGGUUGAGAGUUGACUCAUAAAGAUUCCCUAGGACAGAUCUCUCCAUUGAGUUUGUUUCAUUCGUUCACCCAACAACCUGUCUCCCACUGGAUACCCCAGAGACACAAUCUCAACACUGGGGUGCUUAUUCCCCGUAUAUGCCAAACCACCACCGACUUUACAUAGCGAGGAGGGGGUCCCAUAUUCUGAGGUGGGCACGAAGGAGGAGUACUGCACGUCUCAUGUAGUGGCUGGUAAGAAAGUAGUUGCAGCUGGGAGGGUCCCAAGGACUAGACAGAAAUUAAGCUGCCACAAUUAUGGGCAGAGCCAUUCAUUUAUUGACCUUGUUUCCCUGGACUUUAGGGAGAGGAGACACUAUGCCACCAGGGUUCAGAACACAUCACUUUCUGUGGAGAGCAGACCCAGGAGCACCAGAAGCCAGGAGGAGACAAUCGUAUGAGUUUAAUGACAGGGAUGGAGAACUGAAUGGGUUCUGGAGUGUUUAAAGGCUAAAGUGGAGAAAAGUGAGCCAUGGAUUAGACAUGGAGCUACAGAAAGCAAGCAGCACUGUGGGAUGAUGAUCUUGGGGUUUGGGUUGAGUUUCUGUCUGGCUGGCCAGACUUUGGUGCCAUCAAGUGUUCUUGAACCCCAAAACACUAUUAAGGAGCCAUUUCCAAUGUAAUCACAUUGGGGUCUCUUUAUUACAAGCUCUGGGCUUACUCACCACCGGCCCACAGGAGAGUUUGAUGAAGCAACCCAGAACUCUCAUCGGAAGGAGGUUUUAUAGGAAACGGAAGUAAGUGACAGGGGUCCAGCCUGGCAUGCAUCUAACUGAAUGUCUGUUGUGAGCCGACAGGGGGGGGUGCUCUGAAGUAAGACCCUGUACAAUCAUGGACGGUCUGAAAGUACUUCUGAAACAAUCAGACUAAUCUUUGAUUAAGUAGCUAAGGAGUGACUCUGGUCAAGGACAAGCCGUGAGGUCCUUCCUGGUACUUGGGUGCAACUUGGGUUCCACCGCAGGCCAAGUUCUCAGGCUUUCUUCUCCCUCUGCUACUCCUUCUCCUGUUUUAAGAUGGAGGCCGGUUCCAAGAUGGAGUAGCUUUAGCUUCUCAUUUCCCCCUUUGUCAACUAGAAGGCCCAGUCAUGGGACUUCCUGAAGCUCACAGGCUUUGUUCUGGGGGGACUGGUAGUGCCUUUUCAUCACCGUAAGUUGGAUAGUCCCAAGUCUGUCCUUCAUGAACUGGACUAAUUUGUUUAGAAUGUGGGGGCCAAAGGUAAGGAGCGGAAAUAAAAUGAGCCUGGGACCCAGCAGGGCAGGUAUCAGGGGUCCGCCACAGGGAGCUGUUGAACCAUAGUUUGAAUCAGCCUUGUGCCUGUUCUCUUUGUUUUUCUCUUGGCCAGGCCCUCUCUAACUUUGGCCGUUGACUCUUUGACCAAUCUGGUCAGCAUAAAAACAGCAUUCUUCUUUGAUGGCUGCACAUAGCCCUCCCUGAUGCAAAAACAGGAGAUCCAGCCCCCUCCUAUUUUGGAGUACUGCCUUUGCCGGGGAACCCAGAGAAUCUUGGAGGUGAGAGGUUCCUGUUUCUAAUCUCUAUAUCAGUAUCUGUGGCCUCUCUUAAACCAUCAUGUUUGUUUUGUAACAUCAAGGAAGUUAUCCUGGUUCCUGUGCCAGCCACUCCCAGUCCUAUGAGAGUUACAACUGAAAUUAGUUUGCGCUUGGCUCAGGGACCAAACCCGAGGUUCUAGGAUUGUUACCCAGGAAAUCUAGGACUUGGUCGUCUGUGUGAUAGAUGAUCCCGGGUAACAACAGGACCAGUAUACAGGAUCCUUCGGAUACCUGGAGUAAAGCCCUACAGUCAUUUGCAGGUCUGGUUUCACAGGUGGCUAUAGACCCCAGGGACUAAUCUAUGCAAGUGACCUUCUGUGGCUAGUAAUGUCAGCCUAGCCUCACCUGUUGCCAUCUGCACUCACUGGGGUUCUCAGUUUCAGUCAAGUUUCUAGUCAGGGCUGUGCCUUCAAAGCAGGGUGGUUUUAUUUUAUCGUGCAGCCAGCAUGACUCAGCUAACUCAGGUCAGGAGGCAUUGGUGACCAGAAAAGACUGGUCCACCAUAUUCCAGAGAGGGUCAGGGCUAUUAUUACUCAGUCUUCGUGUUAUCCUGGUGGCUUGGGUUGGGGCCUUAUUAGGGGAAGAUGGGCAUGAGCCCCGGGGGUGGAUUGGCAUCUGAGCCCUCAGGGGUGAUGGAAGUGGGGGUUUAGACAGCAGGACAUUGGGGCUGAGAACAGUUGGGGAUGUCUGAACAUAGAGUAGGAUGGUGAACAGGACUCCAGGGUCUUUACCAGUAACAAAGUCUUCAAGUCUUUCUGGUAGUCCGUUCAGCCUUCCAGCCAUCAUCUGUGAAUCUACUAAUAAGAGGAUUGCACUUCUCCCCACAGCCCCUGGUAUUGCGUCUAGUCAUGGUGAUGAGGUCCUUACUGGGAGGCCUCCAGUGAGCCAUGGAUUAGACAUGGGUUGUCCUUCUGCUUUCUGUCAUGAAAUGAAGCAGUACCCGCCCUCACCAGAUGCCACGACCAGACUCUUGGAUUUCAGCCUAAGGAAUCAGGAGGGAAAUAAUCUUCCGUUCUUUACACACUACCCAGUCUCUGGUAUUGUAUUAUAGUGACAGAAAGCAAGGCUGAGGUCACUAAGAGAAGAACAGUGGUGUAAAUGUACACGACUCUCAUCUGGAAAGAUGGACCGAGAGUUUGAAGUCAGCCGUGUCUCAAACAAAACAAAACAAAACAAAACAAAACAGCGGGAUGGCUUAUUUUAAAAAAUGAGGAAUUAGAUGAACGAAGAUGCAACUUCAAAGAAUGCUGUACUGUUAUACAGAAGCAGUUCUGAACCUGUAGGGGCUAAAUGUCCUCUCACAGGACUCAUUUAUCAGAGAUGAGAUACUUCACAAUUCACAACAGCAAAAUUACAGUUACGAAGUAGUAACAAAAAUAAUCUUAUGGUUGGGGGUCAGCACAACAUGAGGAGUUGUACUAAAGGGUUACACGCAGCACUUGGAAAGCUAGAGAAUCACUGUUAUAAAGCACUGAGCUAAGAAGACAGUCUGUUCCAGACUUUACCUGUUGUGCCAAUUGGAGGUAAUCAUUACCUUGGCCGGUCUAGAAUCGCCUGGGUGACGGCCCUCUGGGUGUGCCUGUGUGGGAUUACCUUGAGUAAGUUAACUGAGGGGAGCUUGCCUGGUCAGUGUGGAUGCAGCAUUCCCUGACUAGAAUCCUAGACUGUAGAGGCUGGGCAGAAGCAUUCAUUGCUCACAGGAUGGGAACAGCUGCUUGAAGCUCCAGCUACCGUCACUCGACUCCGUGGCACGAUGGGUGGAGCCCAACACCCCACCCCUGACGCUGCAUUUCUAUUGCUGGAUAUUUCAUUACUGCAAAGGAAAAGUAACUAAGACCCUGGGUGAAUUAAGUUCUCCCCUUCUAAGGGGUCCAGGGGAUAGAACUCGGGUCACCAUGCUUGGUGGCAAAUACAUUCAACCUUCCAAACACUCGUCUAUUUUAUGGUGUUUGCCAGUCUGCAGUUUUGGAACAUGUGACAUGAAAAUUACUUUAACAGUUGUUCAGUCUCUGUCAGAACUCUCGGCCAUCGGGUAAACAAUCACUGAAGUUCUUCCUUUGGUCUCCAGACAGUCAAUGUGCAAAUCAAUUUUAAUCUCUCUUCUCCUACCAAAAAUCUUAAAAAAAAAAAAAAAAGGAGGGAAGUUUGAGCCUGUUUUCUGCAUGGGGUCAUUUGCCUCAAGUCCAUCCUGAAGGGGGGAGCCCUAAAUCUGUGUUGCUAGUUACACAUUUUGCUAAUACACACCAGACAACAAGUUAACAUCUUACAAAAUAGAAUUAACACAGCAAAAACCUCACAGAUAAUAAAAAACAAAGUAGACAUUUCGUUAUGAUCUAUUAUCAAUUGAAUCAUUUUAAAGAAUGAUAUUAAAUAAGCAAUGAGUCUAUUGCUAAUAAUUGCGAUAAUGAAUUCUGACUGACAAGUUGGUUGCAUUGAGAAAUACCUAGACUAUGGGCUGGCGAGAUGGCUCAGUGGCUAAGGGUGAUUGCUGCCAAGCCUGAUCUCCAGAAUCCACAUAGUAGAAGAAAGAGAAGUGGCUCUUGUGAGUUGUCUUCUGACCUUUACAUGUGUGGAAUGAUCUGUUUCUGCAUCAGCCCUUGGGCAUAUACACACACUAAAUAAAAGAAAAUGUAAACAUUUCAAUACCGACUAGACUAUAGGAGGUGUUACCUUGCUGGAGAAGUGUCUCGAGGUUUAGAGACUUGCCCUGACCCUUCCUGUCAGGAGUCAUCCCUGCUUUCUGGGUAACAGCUCUGUUCCAUUAGGACCUCCUCAUCAUGUGUCUUUUUUUUUUCUUUUUUUUUUUUUUCCCAGAGCUGGGGACCAAACCCAGGGCCUUGUGCUUGCUAGGCAAGCGCUCUACCGCUGAGUUAAAUCCCCAACCCCCUCAUCAUGUGUCUUAGUUACUGUUCUAUCACUCUGACAAAACACCACAACCAAGGCAAAUUAUAAAACAAAGCCUUAAUUGUAGAAGUGCUUACAGUUUCGAAGGGUUAGUCCAUGACCAUCAUGGCGGGAAGCAUGGUGGCAGGCAGACAGGCAUUGACAGGAGCAGGAGCUGAGCGCUCACAUCCCAUUCAUAAGUUACAGACAGAGAGAAUGAGACUGGACCUGGCAUGGGCUUUUGAAAUCUUAAAGCCCACACCUUCUCAGUGACAUACCUCCCCCAAGGUCACACCUCCUGAUCCUUCCCAAAUAGUUCCACUAAUAAGGGAUGGAGCAGUCAAACAUAUGAACCUAGGGGAAGGCCAUUCGCAUCCAAACUACCACAGCCGGAUAGACUGAAUCCAUGAGCAAAAUGAAUCCUUCGUCCCUUUGGUCAUUUUAUGUCCGGUAUUUUUCUAUAGCAAUUCAGAAGCUGACAGCUACAGUCCUCAGAUACAUCAGAAACUACAGAUGCUUGAGAAGUUCUGCUAUUGGAAGAUGACACAAUGGUUGUCCUUUCUAUGUCAUCAUGGUCAUUCCCCAUGACCCCCACCUUUGAGUAGAUGGGUUGCUGAAUGGGUGCAACACACACACACACACACACACACACACACACACACACACUUUUUAAAAAGAUAACAGCAUUUCAAAAACAAAAAGAAUAGUUUAUGGACCAUUGAAUAUUUGUGGCAUAAAGAAUAGCAGCCCAGAAACAAUGAUGCUCAUCUAGGCGGAAAGAGAAUCAAUUUCGUUUUGUAAUCAAACAGAAUCUUGAAAUGACACUGUGCUCGCAAGUAACCUCCCUCUCUCUCAAGGCUAAGCAAUCUGCCGGUUGACUUUAUUCUGUGGAAACCACCUCCCUUUGUGGUUUAGAGCUUUCAAAACAUUGAAUGUUUAGUGUCCGUAUAAUUAGAUCACCAGAGUAAUAAGUUGGACACGGUGGCUCACAUCUGCCAUUCCUGCACUUGAGAGGCUGACAUAGGAGGAUCAUUGCUCUGCAAGGCCAGUCUGGGCCAGAGAAAAACCCCAUCUCAAAGCAAACAAACAAACAAACGAAUGAAUGGGAUAGGAAAGGAAAGAAGGGAGGGACAUUCACUCAUGGAAUGAGUAGUUCCGUGUGGGAAGGACUUCUCUCAGCACAGUCCAGACACUUCUAUUUCUUGCAAUAAAGCCAUCACCUUGAUUUUGAAAGUCACUGGCUAAUGGGAAUGGUGUCACCUUCUCUAACCCCAACAUUUUAUUAGGGGAAUCUUGAGUCCUACCAAAGGAAUAGGACUGCUUUCUCAUCUGAUAUUUUUAACUCCUGGUUUGUUUUUUUUUUAAAGAUA
Non-coding RNA from Rattus norvegicus (Norway rat), 7793 nucleotides. The record is from RefSeq and is a predicted model, not a curated record. Lineage: Eukaryota; Metazoa; Chordata; Mammalia; Rodentia; Muridae.